GAUAUCCAUCGGAAUCACUAUCGAUCAAACAUUGUCGGGGAUGAGGUACCAUCACCUCCCAUCUCACGGGCACUAUCUCUCCUCCCAUCCCCACUUUGUACAGCCACCAUUGACUUUGAUAUGGAUGGAGAUCAUCAUAUUUCAAUCAAUAAGACACUCUUCUAUUUGUCGAUCUAAUUUUCAACCAUGUUCCUUCUUUUUUCUGGCCAUCCUCACUGCCGGCACAUGUCACUGGUUCUCUAUUUCCAACUGUUGGUCAUCGGCUACCUACCAUCAGCCACAAUCUCUCCUGAACUUCUUCCUCUAUUUUGAGAAAGAACAAGAAAAAAAUCCUUUGUUUUGCCAAAUGAAGGAAGAAGAAAAGAGAUAAAUGAAAAAAGAAAAAGAAAAAAGAAAAAAGAAGAAAGAAACAAGAAGAAAAGGAAAACAAAAAAAAGGGCAAAAGAGAGAGUCCUCUUCUC
This 461-nucleotide long non-coding RNA is filed under the name Elaeis guineensis (African oil palm). RNAcentral describes it as "long non-coding RNA (EGUI_LNC003974)". Lineage: Eukaryota; Viridiplantae; Streptophyta; Magnoliopsida; Arecales; Arecaceae. The record is from RNAcentral.